Long non-coding RNA from Chelonia mydas (Green sea turtle), 2861 nucleotides. RefSeq lists it as uncharacterized. The transcript is spliced from 2 exons. Lineage: Eukaryota; Metazoa; Chordata; Testudines; Cheloniidae. The record is from RefSeq and is a predicted model, not a curated record.
GUGCACAUAGGCUGCCAGCGCCUUCAGCGGGUGCAGCAUCACCCUCCCCGGCCGUGGCCAGCGCUACCCGCGGCUGUCGGCUGAGAGCUGGCCAGAGCGUCCUGAUCUCCGCAGCACCAACCCCUGGUAACCGACUGUGCAUCCAGCCCGAGUCAUUCCUGCUGGCGGCCCGCGGCUCCCCCACUUCUUCGAAGGCUCCUCCUCUGGGAUGGAACCAGACCGCCCGGGACAACAGCAGGGACGCCCAGCUGGGGACAUUUCCAGUCAUGGUGCCCUGCGGGACCUUUAAUCAAGCUCUUCCUCAUUCUCAUCAAGCCACGCGGCCAGCCGGAGACGCGGUAAAUGGGGUGGGGGAUCCCGCCCCGCCUUUCGUAAUUAUCCUCUGCGCUGCCCGUUAAUGCUCCACACGCUGGAGGGUUUAAUUGGAAAGGGGACGAGGUGACCGGCUCCUCUCAGAACCUCUUAGGAGCCGUGGGAGCCGGCGGGACAGCAAGCGGGGCCUGGCGCGUCAUCUGACAUCUCUGCUUUCCUCCCCUGCCCCUGAAGCCCGGCUGCAGCCAGUCCCUUGCGCUUGUGGCUGGUGCUUGUCAGCGGCGUCUCCGGGGCCAAACGAUGACAUCCCUCGCAGGCUGGUCAGCCUGGAUGACAGGCAAUUAAGUUCAGAUUUUAAAGCCAGAAAGCAUCGUUGCGCUCAUGUAAUCUGAUCUCCUGCUUCCACUGGGUGUCAAAUCCAAGACCAUCUAAAGCCAGUGCAAUUGCUACAGGCCACCAAAGAGGAGAGUGGACAGAGCAACCGUCCCGCUCGCUGCCCCUGCCUUGCAGAGCCAGUGGUCCCGCCGCUGAGCUGCAGUCAGGGCCGUGGAGAAGAGUUCCAGCGUUCAGCGUAUUGGCCUUGGAAUGAUGAACCCUGGAGCUGGCCCUGCUCAGAUAACCUGAGGUUGAUGCAGCCUCGGGGUGAUCAUUUCAUGACUGACGCUGAGGCCCCAGGCCAGAUACCACAGCAGCAAGGUGCCCUGGCAGUGGGUGCCACAGAAAACCCUUCCCUAAAUCAACCGGUUUGUGACCCUUCGUUGAUAUGUCCUUUGUUUGUCCUUCGGCCCAGGGGCUCUGUGGAGGUCCUACGGCAGAGACCAGGUUCCGGAGUCCCCGAGGGCAGAGCCUGGGGACAGGGAGAGACAUCCCAUCCUGAUCGCUCUACAAGAACUUCCUACUUUAAUGCUAAGUUCCCUUUGGCCCCAUGAAUCCCAGGGUGCGUGUGGGGCUCAAAUACUAUGUAAUGGAAGGUGCACAACAAAUCUCUCCCCCUCCCCCUCUGUCUUUCCAACCCUUCCCCCACAGAGAGACCCCCUUUCUUUCUUUAAGGGGCUAGCAAAAAGUGCCGUGUGGCUGCAGCACGGGAGGAGAGACUAGCCGGGCUCUCCCAGAGGGGUGCCUUGGUUCACAUAAGGAGCCUUCUCCUUCCCGUCCCUACCUUAGGAAGGCAGAAGUUCUUACCUGAGGGUGGAGAGAAUAAGGAAUUGUUCACUCUCCAGCUGGAUCCAGAGACUGAAGCUGUCAGUUACUUCCUGAUAAUUGCUACCAUGAGGCCCCAGCUGUAGCUCAUUUAAGGCAUCAAAGAGGCAGCUCUAACCAGCCAGCAGGAACUGAAUCAGCGUGGGUAAUUCUGCCAUCCAUAAACCCCUCCAGCGGAUCUCUGCCGUUCACCUCGGGUUGGCGUUCCACAGAGGAGACAAAGGGCCUAACUCUCCUCUUACAUACACCGGCCUGACAUCGCCACAACGUCCCAAGCCCUACCACUGAGGUGUGCCGCUGUCAGACGAGGUGUGGGUGACUCUGGCAAGGGAGAGUCUCUGAGCCUGGAGUCCCGUGGGCUCCUGGAGCCUGCUGUGAACAGGGAGGAGUGCCAUGGAAACACCAGAGCCAGACCAGAAUCUGGCUCAGGGGACAGGAUGUGCUCUGAGGUUUGGGACCUAAAUUUUGAAAGUUCGACGAGGUGCCAAUCUGCAGCUGUCGGCACCUAAAGACCUUUCGAAACCUGGCCCUCAGCAACCUCUCUCCAUCUUUGCUUUGUCCCCCCCAGUUAAUAUAUGUUGCCUGGGGAUGCAUUUACGCUCACUGGCUCCGAGCUGUUGCUUUGCAGCUGGGGACAGGGGAUAAACCGAGUGUUAAAAACCACAGAGUGGGACCAAACUGGCCGUGGCAAAAUGGACACUGGUCCAGCCCUCAGUGCAGCAGAAACGCUCUCAGACAAAACAACUGCAAGGAAAUUGAAAGAGAACAAUGAGGAGAACUUCACAGGAUCUUCAUCAAGGAAAAUAAGGACAUGACCAGGCAACAGGGUUUAACUUUCAUCAGCUUAAACUUCUGCAACUUUUGUGUGUGGACACUCCUACAUCGGUUUAGCUUGUGCCUGUACGUUUGCUGGACCCAGAUAAACCGCUAUAAACCAAUGAGGGUUGCAGUGGGGUGGCCUGCCCCUUUAAGGGCAGAAGCCCUAGAGCAGGCCUGCCCUGUACAACUGGGCCCGCUUGCCACGCCUGGGCUGGGGUGAGAGGUGUAAGUGACAGUGGGUUUGCAGGAACUGAUUCUCCGACAAAAAGCAGCAGGAUGUAGGGAGGGCCGAUGCUUAGGAUCUCCCUCGCUCUUUCUCUCACGCUACAGAGUCUGCUGGGAGUGAGUGGAUGCCAGCAGGGAACCCUGAGCUUCCAGGGAAAAGGGCUCCAGGCAGAGAAGCCCUGGAGACACCCAGCGGGAAAGAGACUGGGAGUGUGAACAUGAUGGGGAUUUCUGAGAACUUUACUUGGGGAAUGAUUGUUCAGUGUUAAUAAAUCCAGCCCCAAGAAGGGAUGUGCUGCACCUGA